UGGAUUGGCUUGUUUUCGCCUCUUACACCUGGGGCCAUCCGCCAUGAUCUCGUGCUUCAUUGAUAAGAGUGGAUCAGAUGGCAGCUCGCAUGGACUCGACUCCUUGAAUCAGCAGCAGCAGCACGCAGGCUCAAUAUCUAACAACCAAACACAGGCAGCAACAAUAGGAGAGGAGAGAACCAACCCUGGGACACGCGCCACCUAUCGUCACGGGAGGGGAUAAUUGAGCAGGACCAAACGUGAGCAUCUUUUGCUAAACGUGAUACGUUUUUUCUCUCUCUCCCAAGCUGUUUGAUCCGAGUGAAAUGAACUGUGACUGUCGGACUACGACUACCAUGUAUAGCAGCCGAAGAAGCAAGAAUAUUAUCCGGAAGAAGAAAAGUUGGAACACUCUCAUAUUCAACGCACAUGACCACAACUGGAAGGGGGGAAAACGGACCAAAAUGAUAAGCGUUGGAAGUUUGACUGACUCUCACACAUACCAGGGAUGAAAAUGUAAGGUUUGCAGAGUUAAGGAAGUGAGCAUCAGCGGUUUGGGUUGUUCAUGUUUUAUAUUUGUAAACGUUUAUUUAUUUGCCUCCUCUAUAGACGUGCGUUUAUUUUUACUAUCGCAAUAACCACUAUGAGCAUGUAUAACGGCGCGUGCCCCAUGCAUCUACAAGAGCGACAGAGAUGUGUAUGUUGAGAUGCUUCUCGCACUUGCCAGGUGGAGUCAGCUGCGUACAGGUACUUUAGUUGAAGUUUUCCCCGUGUGUUUUAAACAAAGUCUAUGUGCACUCAUCACUCUGACCAGGUUUGAAAUACGUCAAGGGUAUACUUUAUUCCUUUUUUUCCACAGGUGUUAUUCAAGGUUAUAUCGACGAACAUAUUUCACUCUAUUGCAACUAUAUGCCAUGGCUAUUACUCCAAUUAAUGUUCCUCUAUUUGAUUUAUUUAUGUAUUUCCCUGUGAUGCUGCUGCUUCAUUUUCUGUCUGUCUCUCGCUAUAGAUGGAGAGAAAGGCUCCACCUUUGCAACGCUGUGAUUGGUUAUGUAAAUAAAGUAUUAUAUUUGCUGUCCUGUCCUAUGCAGUUAUCAAUUGUAUGGAUAAUUAAAUCAUCAAUCAAGAUGCUCGACUGUUUGAUGCCUUUGUCCAAAGCCAAUCAAAUUCCAGAGAACUCGGAAGCACAGCUCGAGAGGAAAAGGUGCUCAACAUCUGGCAUUAAAUGUUCCAAAAAGACGGUCGAUAUAGACAGAACAGCUGAAAAUAGAUUGCUAUUAGAGUAUUUUUCAAUAUUCUUAUCUGCAAUUAAUUUGAAUGAAUUAUAUAUAAUUGUACUAAUUAUAAUUCUGAUUAUUAUUAACAAUAUGAAUAUAAUGUUGUAUUUGUAAUAUUAUGAUUAUUAUGUUUAUUAUUACAUGUACAGUACUGUAUUUAUUUGCAGCCUACUACUCUAUUUAUGUUGCACUGUUAUAUUUUCAUUAGCUAGUUAUGUACAAAAUAACUUUGUUGUCAUUUGUGCAGCUGUUAUUGGUCGCAGCCAGGUGAUAGAGCGUCACAGACUUGAAGAAGGGGACCCGCUUUGCUGCAGCUGUCCCAUGGAAACACAGCUAUUUUGGGAUUCCAACUCCCUGCAGGACUGCUGUUCUGUGCUGAGAAAGGAGCGGCGAUCGCGAUGGAAUUGCUCCCUGGAAAUGUUACAUCUAUGCUAAAACUUAGGAGGAGGAGGAGGAAGAGGAGGAGGAGGAGAAUGCACAGGUGGUGGUGGGGAAAGAAUCUAAUGGAUUGGAAUCCCCAAACUAAAUAAGAGAGCGAGGGGUGAGGGGGAUGAGUGGAGGAGGAGGAGAACAGGACUGUGUCAUUUCCUGUACAUGAGAACAUACCCCAAAGCUGCUCUACAUUUCACUGUUUUAAUGUCUCCCCUGAAUAAUUUCACAUACCACAAGUACGGUAUAUGAUACAUUAUGUUAAGUAAGAUUUAUGUUGAAGACAAUUCAACGUCUUACACCAGGUAUGACUGCCUUUAUGACUACUUAUAUCCUAUAUACCGCUGACAGCUCCUUUCAGCGAUGGUGAGUAUACAUUAUGUCUGAGGCCCUAAACAUACAGCUGACAGCCUUCUAAAGGUGUUCGGUAUACAAUACAAUGUAUAAGGGCCUAAAUGAUAAUGGUGUGACACAAAGCAUCUUUCCCAGUUCACAUCUAUCCCUCUAGUUUGUUUGUAACUCUCCCUCUCUCUCUCCCUACACUACAAUGACGACAACAACAUUGACUGUAGAUCUCUCUAUGGGACCCGUUCUGUGAUAUUCUGAAACCCACUGCUGUAAAUAGCUGUAGAUAUUAUGCCAUUUUAAACUCCGCCGCUGCUCGCAGUGUACAGAGUAAAGAACAUGAGCGAUUGUUGGACAAUUAGAGAACAGAGGUGACCGUGUGUGUUUGUGUGAUCUUUGCGGAGAAGUCUCAAACACGCAAUAUGAAUUUGGUUUACGUUCGCUACAGGCCUUACAGGCAAACGAGCACUUCUCCUUUGCUUGUUCUUUUCUCAAAAACACUUCAGAUGUUUCUCAGUGUAUAUAAAAUAAAGUGAGAGCGAGAAGAGAGAGCGAGAGAGUGAAAGAGAGAGAGAGAGAUCACAAAGUAACAGAACAGAUUGCUUAGAAACAAAAAGCUCACAUCAGAAACGUAUUGAUUUUUCUUCUGUUGGUUGCUCUUGUUAAAAUCAACAGAGUAAGUGCAUGGUGAUUGAGACUGCGAAUGACAACUUAUUCAUUUGCGCAGCUCAAUAAGAGACAGAUCAGAUGUUCUGCUUUGCUUUGUAUCUUUCCUGUGGAAAGAGGUCAGGUCCCCAGUGGCCAGAAGAGUAACAGAUUGGUGGAGGGAGGCUAUGAGGGCCUCAGAAAGACUAACAUUUCUGUUUUAAUAUUUUGAUUGUCCCUCUUUGUGAAGCAUAUAUACCAAGAAAGGAUAAAGGCAGAAAACACAGACAAUUAAUGUUUGGCAUGGACAACAGUUAGUUUUCUUUUACCCUAAGGUAAGCUGUUCAGGAAAACAGGAAACGUAUUUCACUCUCGACUCUAAAGAUGACUUAUCACUCCCUGGGAUUAAUAAAUGAGGGUGGCUAUGAUGCGUUAUUAAUAAAACAUUUGAAUAAU
Salmo salar (Atlantic salmon) is the source of this 3131-nucleotide non-coding RNA. The record is from RefSeq and is a predicted model, not a curated record. Lineage: Eukaryota; Metazoa; Chordata; Actinopteri; Salmoniformes; Salmonidae.